Molecule: ribosomal RNA, 253 nt
Filed under: uncultured bacterium
Lineage: Bacteria
Description: partial 16S ribosomal RNA
Rfam family: Bacterial small subunit ribosomal RNA
Source: RNAcentral
GACGAACCGUCCAAACGUUGUUCGGAAUCACUGGGCUUAAAGGGCGCGUAGGCGGGUUCCCAAGUCGGUGGUGAAAUCUUUCGGCCCAACCGGAAAACAGCCGCCGAUACUGGGAGUCUCGAGUGAGGUAGGGGUCGAUGGAACUUCAGGUGGAGCGGUGAAAUGCGUAGAUAUCUGAAGGAACGCCGGUGGCGAAAGCGAUCGACUGGACCUUUUCUGACGCUGAGGCGCGAAAGCCAGGGGAGCAAACGGG